This 87-nucleotide transfer RNA is filed under the name Beggiatoa alba. Its description in RNAcentral is "tRNA-Leu". It matches the Rfam family "tRNA". From Rfam's summary of the family: Transfer RNA (tRNA) molecules are approximately 80 nucleotides in length. The record is from RNAcentral. RNAcentral also lists the same sequence under 11 other names. Lineage: Bacteria; Pseudomonadati; Pseudomonadota; Gammaproteobacteria; Thiotrichales; Thiotrichaceae.
GCCGGGGUGGCGGAACUGGUAGACGCGCCGGAUUCAAAAUCCGGUUCCUUCACGGGAGUGCCGGUUCGAUUCCGGCCCUCGGUACCA